GUUAGCUCAAUUGGAUAGAGUACCGGUCUUCGGAACCGGUGGUGAGGGUUCGAGUCCCUCAC
Molecule: transfer RNA, 62 nt
Filed under: bovine gut metagenome
Rfam family: tRNA
About the family: Transfer RNA (tRNA) molecules are approximately 80 nucleotides in length. Their secondary structure includes four short double-helical elements and three loops (D, anti-codon, and T loops). Further hydrogen bonds mediate the characteristic L-shaped molecular structure. tRNAs have two regions of fundamental functional importance: the anti-codon, which is responsible for specific mRNA codon recognition, and the 3' end, to which the tRNAs corresponding amino acid is attached (by aminoacyl-tRNA synthetases). tRNAs cope with the degeneracy of the genetic code in two manners: having more than one tRNA (with a specific anti-codon) for a particular amino acid; and 'wobble' base-pairing, i.e. permitting non-standard base-pairing at the 3rd anti-codon position.
Source: RNAcentral